UACACUCCUACGGGAGGCAGCAGUGGGGAAUAUUGCACAAUGGGCGCAAGCCUGAUGCAGCCAUGCCGCGUGUAUGAAGAAGGCCUUCGGGUUGUAAAGUACUUUCAGCGGGGAGGAAGGCGAUAAGGUUAAUAACCUUGUUGAUUGACGUUACCCGCAGAAGAAGCACCGGCUAACUCCGUGCCAGCAGCCGCGGUAAUACGGAGGGUGCAAGCGUUAAUCGGAAUUACUGGGCGUAAAGCGCACGCAGGCGGUCUGUCAAGUCGGAUGUGAAAUCCCCGGGCUCAACCUGGGAACUGCAUUCGAAACUGGCAGGCUAGAGUCUUGUAGAGGGAGGUAGAAUUCCAGGUGUAGCGGUGAAAUGCGUAGAGAUCUGGAGGAAUACCGGUGGCGAAGGCGGCCCCCUGGACAAAGACUGACGCUCAGGUGCGAAAGCGUGGGGAGCAAACAGGAUUAGAAACCCGAGUAGUCCCAUGA
Molecule: ribosomal RNA, 477 nt
Filed under: uncultured organism
Description: partial 16S ribosomal RNA
Rfam family: Bacterial small subunit ribosomal RNA
Source: RNAcentral